This 1043-nucleotide ribosomal RNA is filed under the name Lepus arcticus (Arctic hare). Its description in RNAcentral is "partial 16S ribosomal RNA". It matches the Rfam family "Bacterial large subunit ribosomal RNA", at positions 905 to 2593 of the family's 2925-position model. The record is from RNAcentral. Lineage: Eukaryota; Metazoa; Chordata; Mammalia; Lagomorpha; Leporidae.
GUCCAGAAUAGAAUUUUAGUUCAACUUUAAAUUUUCCUAAAGGACACCUAACCCUAAUGAAAGUUUAAAUGUUACUCUAAAGAGGGACAGCUCUUUAGAAAUAGGAUACAGCCUUUUAUAAUGAGUAAGUCAUUUUAAACCCAUAGUUGGCCUAAAAGCAGCCAUCAAUUAAGAAAGCGUUAAAGCUCAACAGUCAAAAUUAACUUAAUUCCUAGAUUUAAGAACGAACUCUUAUAACCCCUAACUGGACUAAUCUAUAAACUUAUAGAAGAAAUAAUGCUAAUAUGAGUAACAAGAAUUUAAUUCUCCUUGCACAAGCCUAUAUCAGAUCGGAUGCCCGCUGAUAGUUAACAACUAGUAAUAGAAAAACUCUACAAAUUAACUCUCUAUUAACUUCUACUGUUGACCCAACACAGGUGUGCACUUAUAGGAAAGAUUAAAAGAAGGAAAAGGAACUCGGCAAACUUUAACCCCGCCUGUUUACCAAAAACAUCACCUCUAGCAUUACUAGUAUUAGAGGCACUGCCUGCCCAGUGACAAACGUUUAACGGCCGCGGUAUCCUGACCGUGCAAAGGUAGCAUAAUCACUUGUUCCUUAAUUAGGGACUAGCAUGAAUGGCAACACGAGGGUUUAACUGUCUCUUCCUUCCAAUCAGUGAAAUUGACCUCCCCGUGAAGAGGCGGGGAUAAAACAAUAAGACGAGAAGACCCUAUGGAGCUUUAAUUAUUUAAUUCAAUAUUUUCACAACUUCACUCCACAGGAGCUUAACCAAGAAAAUCCCUGAAUUAAAAAUUUUGGUUGGGGUGACCUCGGAGCAAAAACCAACCUCCGAAUGAUUAAAGCCUAGACUCAACAAGUCAAAGCAUUAGAAAUCAUAAAUUGACCCAAAUCCUUUUGAUCAACGGAACAAGUUACCCUAGGGAUAACAGCGCAAUCCUAUUUUAGAGUUCCCAUCGACAAUAGGGUUUACGACCUCGAUGUUGGAUCAGGACAUCCCAAUGGUGCAACCGCUAUUAAAGGUUCGUUUGUUCAACGAUUAAAG